RNAcentral lists this ribosomal RNA (466 nucleotides) under uncultured bacterium. RNAcentral describes it as "partial 16S ribosomal RNA". It matches the Rfam family "Bacterial small subunit ribosomal RNA", at positions 29 to 507 of the family's 1533-position model. The record is from RNAcentral.
ACGAACGCUGGCGGCGUGCUUAACACAUGCAAGUCGAACGGAAAGGCCCUGCUUUUGUGGGGUGCUCGCGUGGCGAACGGGUGAGUAACACGUGAGUAACCUGCCCUUGACUUUGGGAUAACUUCAUGAAACUGGGGCUAAUACCGGAUAGGAGCUCCUGCUGCAUGGUGGGGGUUGAAAGUUUCGGCGGUUGGGGAUGGACUCGCGGCUUAUCAGCUUGUUGGUGGGGUAGUGGCUUACCAAGGCUUUGACGGGUAGCCGGCCUGAGAGGGUGACCGGCCACAUUGGGACUGAGAUACGGCCCAGACUCCUACGGGAGGCAGCAGUGGGGAAUAUUGCACAAUGGGCGGAAGCCUGAUGCAGCAACGCCGCGUGCGGGAUGACGGCCUUCGGGUUGUAAACCGCUUUCGCCUGUGACGAAGCGUGAGUGACGGUAAUGGGUAAAGAAGCACCGGCUAACUACGUG